UACGUAGGGUGCAAGCGUUAAUCGGAAUUACUGGGCGUAAAGCGUGCGCAGGCGGUUGUGCAAGACAAGUUUGAAAUCCCCGGGCUUAACCUGGGAACUGCAUUUGUGACUGCACGGCUAGAGUGUGUCAGAGGGGGGUAGAAUUCCACGUGUAGCAGUGAAAUGCGUAGAUAUGUGGAGGAAUACCGGUGGCGAAGGCAGCUCGCUGAGACGUUACUGACGCUGAGACGCGAAAGCGUGGGGAGCAAACAGG
Molecule: ribosomal RNA, 253 nt
Filed under: uncultured bacterium
Lineage: Bacteria
Description: partial 16S ribosomal RNA
Rfam family: Bacterial small subunit ribosomal RNA
Source: RNAcentral